GACGAACGCUGGCGGCGUGCUUAACACAUGCAAGUCGAACGCUGAAGCUCAGCUUUUGUUGGGUGGAUGAGUGGCGAACGGGUGAGUAUCACGUGAGUAACCUGCCCCCUUCUUUGGGAUAACGCCCCGAAACGGCUGCUCUUAUUGCAUAUUCACUGUUCUUCGCAUGGGGUCUGUUGGAAAGGGUUUUUCUGGUGUGGGAUGGGCUCGCAGCCUCUCGGCUUGUUGGUGGGGUGAUGGUCUACCCAGGCGUUGACGGCUAGCCGGCCUGAAAGGGUGAACGGGAACAUAGGGACGGAGAGACGGCCCAGGCGCGUACGGGGGGCGGCAGUGGGGAAUAUGGCAGAAUGGGCGCAAGCCUGAUGCAGCGACGGCGCGUGAGGGAUGGAGGCCUUCGGGUUGUGAACCUCUUUCGCAAAUGGUGAAGCCGCAACAAUGGUUGUGGUGAGGGUAGUGGGUAAAGAAGCGCCGGCUAACUACGUG
RNAcentral lists this ribosomal RNA (483 nucleotides) under uncultured bacterium. Its description in RNAcentral is "partial 16S ribosomal RNA". It matches the Rfam family "Bacterial small subunit ribosomal RNA", at positions 28 to 507 of the family's 1533-position model. The record is from RNAcentral.